RNAcentral lists this ribosomal RNA (1432 nucleotides) under uncultured bacterium. RNAcentral describes it as "16S ribosomal RNA". It matches the Rfam family "Bacterial small subunit ribosomal RNA". The record is from RNAcentral.
GAUGAACGCUAGCUACAGGCUUAACACAUGCAAGUCGAGGGGCAGCAUGGUCUUAGCUUGCUAAGGCCGAUGGCGACCGGCGCACGGGUGAGUAACACGUAUCCAACCUGCCGUCUACUCUUGGACAGCCUUCUGAAAGGAAGAUUAAUGCAAGAUGGCAUCAUGAGUCCGCAUGUUCACAUGAUUAAAGGUAUUCCGGUAGACGAUGGGGAUGCGUUCCAUUAGAUAGUAGGCGGGGUAACGGCCCACCUAGUCUUCGAUGGAUAGGGGUUCUGAGAGGAAGGUCCCCCACAUUGGAACUGAGACACGGUCCAAACUCCUACGGGAGGCAGCAGUGAGGAAUAUUGGUCAAUGGGCGAGAGCCUGAACCAGCCAAGUAGCGUGAAGGAUGACUGCCCUAUGGGUUGUAAACUUCUUUUAUAAAGGAAUAAAGUCGGGUAUGGAUACCCGUUUGCAUGUACUUUAUGAAUAAGGAUCGGCUAACUCCGUGCCAGCAGCCGCGGUAAUACGGAGGAUCCGAGCGUUAUCCGGAUUUAUUGGGUUUAAAGGGAGCGUAGAUGGAUGUUUAAGUCAGUUGUGAAAGUUUGCGGCUCAACCGUAAAAUUGCAGUUGAUACUGGAUAUCUUGAGUGCAGUUGAGGCAGGCGGAAUUCGUGGUGUAGCGGUGAAAUGCUUAGAUAUCACGAAGAACUCCGAUUGCGAAGGCAGCCUGCUAAGCUGCAACUGACAUUGAGGCUCGAAAGUGUGGGUAUCAAACAGGAUUAGAUACCCUGGUAGUCCACACGGUAAACGAUGAAUACUCGCUGUUUGCGAUAUACUGCAAGCGGCCAAGCGAAAGCGUUAAGUAUUCCACCUGGGGAGUACGCCGGCAACGGUGAAACUCAAAGGAAUUGACGGGGGCCCGCACAAGCGGAGGAACAUGUGGUUUAAUUCGAUGAUACGCGAGGAACCUUACCCGGGCUUAAAUUGCAGAUGAAUUACGGUGAAAGCCGUAAGCCGCAAGGCAUCUGUGAAGGUGCUGCAUGGUUGUCGUCAGCUCGUGCCGUGAGGUGUCGGCUUAAGUGCCAUAACGAGCGCAACCCUUGUUGUCAGUUACUAACAGGUUCCGCUGAGGACUCUGACAAGACUGCCAUCGUAAGAUGUGAGGAAGGUGGGGAUGACGUCAAAUCAGCACGGCCCUUACGUCCGGGGCUACACACGUGUUACAAUGGGGGGUACAGAGGGCCGCUACCACGCGAGUGGAUGCCAAUCCCCAAAACCUCUCUCAGUUCGGACUGGAGUCUGCAACCCGACUCCACGAAGCUGGAUUCGCUAGUAAUCGCGCAUCAGCCACGGCGCGGUGAAUACGUUCCCGGGCCUUGUACACACCGCCCGUCAAGCCAUGGGAGCCGGGGGUACCUGAAGUGCGUAACCGCGAGGAGCGCCCUAGGGUA